UACGAAGGGGGCUAGCGUUGCUCGGAAUCACUGGGCGUAAAGGGCGCGUAGGCGGCCGAUCAAGUCAGAGGUGAAAGCCCAGGGCUUAACCCUGGAAUUGCCUUUGAUACUGUUCGGCUAGAGACCGGAAGAGGUUAGUGGAACUGCGAGUGUAGAGGUGAAAUUCGUAGAUAUUCGCAAGAACACCAGUGGCGAAGGCGGCUAACUGGUCCGGUUCUGACGCUGAGGCGCGAAAGCGUGGGGAGCAAACAGG
RNAcentral lists this ribosomal RNA (253 nucleotides) under uncultured bacterium. RNAcentral describes it as "partial 16S ribosomal RNA". It matches the Rfam family "Bacterial small subunit ribosomal RNA", at positions 524 to 776 of the family's 1533-position model. The record is from RNAcentral.